Molecule: ribosomal RNA, 254 nt
Filed under: uncultured Stenotrophomonas sp.
Lineage: Bacteria; Pseudomonadati; Pseudomonadota; Gammaproteobacteria; Lysobacterales; Lysobacteraceae
Description: partial 16S ribosomal RNA
Rfam family: Bacterial small subunit ribosomal RNA
Source: RNAcentral
CGGACGGGUGAGGAAUACAUCGGAAUCUACACUGUCGUGGGGGAUAACGUAGGGAAACUUACGCUAAUACCGCAUACGACCUACGGGUGAAAGCAGGGGAUCUUCGGACCUUGCGCGAUUGAAUGAGCCGAUGUCGGAUUAGCUAGUUGGCGGGGUAAAGGCCCACCAAGGCGACGAUCCGUAGCUGGUCUGAGAGGAUGAUCAGCCACACUGGAACUGAGACACGGUCCAGACUCCUACGGGAGGCAGCAGCC